CAGUAGCCACGGUAAUACGAAGGGGGCUAGCGUUGUUCGGAAUUACUGGGCGUAAAGCGCACGCAGGCGGCUCGAUAAAUUAGAAGUGAAAGCCUUGGGCUUAACCUGAGAAUUGCUUUUAAGACUGUCGAGCUAGAAUCCAGAAGAGGGUAGUGGAAUUCCGAGUGUAGAGGUGAAAUUCGUAGAUAUUCGGAAGAACACCAGUGGCGAAGGCGACUACCUGGUCUGGCAUUGACGCUCAUGUGCGAAAGCGUGGGGAGCAAACAGGAUUAGAGACCCCAGUAGUCCCUGUCUCUUAUAC
Molecule: ribosomal RNA, 301 nt
Filed under: uncultured bacterium
Lineage: Bacteria
Description: partial 16S ribosomal RNA
Rfam family: Bacterial small subunit ribosomal RNA
Source: RNAcentral